RNAcentral lists this ribosomal RNA (372 nucleotides) under Salmonella enterica subsp. enterica serovar Kentucky. Its description in RNAcentral is "bacterial SSU rRNA". It matches the Rfam family "Bacterial small subunit ribosomal RNA", at positions 1 to 371 of the family's 1533-position model. The record is from RNAcentral. Lineage: Bacteria; Pseudomonadati; Pseudomonadota; Gammaproteobacteria; Enterobacterales; Enterobacteriaceae.
AAAUUGAAGAGUUUGAUCAUGGCUCAGAUUGAACGCUGGCGGCAGGCCUAACACAUGCAAGUCGAACGGUAGCACAGAGAGCUUGCUCUCGGGUGACGAGUGGCGGACGGGUGAGUAAUGUCUGGGAAACUGCCCGAUGGAGGGGGAUAACUACUGGAAACGGUAGCUAAUACCGCAUAACGUCGCAAGACCAAAGUGGGGGACCUUCGGGCCUCACACCAUCGGAUGUGCCCAGAUGGGAUUAGCUAGUAGGUGGGGUAACGGCUCACCUAGGCGACGAUCCCUAGCUGGUCUGAGAGGAUGACCAGCCACACUGGAACUGAGACACGGUCCAGACUCCUACGGGAGGCAGCAGUGGGGAAUAUUGCACAA